Molecule: ribosomal RNA, 447 nt
Filed under: uncultured bacterium
Lineage: Bacteria
Description: partial 16S ribosomal RNA
Rfam family: Bacterial small subunit ribosomal RNA
Source: RNAcentral
AACGAACGCUGGCGGCAGGCCUAACACAUGCAAGUCGAACGCCCCGCAAGGGGAGUGGCAGACGGGUGAGUAACGCGUGGGAACCUUCCCAAAGGUGCGGAAUAGCUCAGGCAAACUUGGGGUAAUACCGCAUAAUGCCGAGAGGCCAAAGAUUUAUCGCCUUUGGAUGGGCCCGCGUCGGAUUAGCUAGUUGGUGAGGUAACGGCUCACCAAGGCGACGAUCCGUAGCUGGUUUGAGAGAGUGACCAGCCACACUGGGACUGAGACACGGCCCAGACUCCUACGGGAGGCAGCAGUGGGGAAUCUUGGACAAUGGGCGCAAGCCUGAUCCAGCCAUGCCGCGUGAGUGACGAAGGCCUUAGGGUUGUAAAGCUCUUUUGCCGGGGACGAUAAUGACGGUACCCGGAGAAUAAGUCCCGGCUAACUUCGUGCCAGCAGCCGCAGUAA